CCCUAGCGAGCUCCAGUCUGAGGAGACGCUCUCUGAUUGUGCACUGUGAGACACACAAUGUCACCACUCACUGGAGCCAUGGACUGGGAGAUACAACAGUGACGGUGUAUUUGUCCAACAAACGUAGUCUACUCGACACUGCAGCCAGUUGCCUGAUUCCUCCACGUCUGCCUGGCAGAGAUGGACCUCUCCAGACUGGCAGCCACAAAGACUUCACCCUGGUUGCCCUGCCAAGAGCCCGGCCACCUCCUACAGCCUCCACUCACACUGCUUCACUUAAAAGAUUCACAACAGGCAGGGGUAUUUUCAAUACUCAGCUGCAUUUCUCUCUCUUUGUGCAUGUAUGUGUAUAUGUAUGUGAGAUCGAUGCAGUCAACUAGAAAGGCCUAUGCAAGGUCAAAACUCUGCAGGCUGACUCUCGCCACCAAUCUUUCCAGAGAACCCAGAAAGUUUCACUCUCAAAGCUCAGAAUAAAUAUUUGUUGACAGUGUGCCAUGCGACUCCCUGUGCCCUGGACACGAUGGAUCUAAAAUAAGGCUCUGCUAAGGGUCUUUCCAAGGUUCUACACAGAAAAACAAAACUGAAAUUUCUCUUGGAAAGCACACUUAAAUGAGUCAGAG
This is a long non-coding RNA of Ictalurus punctatus (channel catfish), 620 nucleotides long. NCBI's taxonomy places the organism in Eukaryota, Metazoa, Chordata, Actinopteri, Siluriformes, Ictaluridae. The record is from Ensembl.